AGUGAACGCUGGCGGUAGGCCUAACACAUGCAAGUCUAACGGCAGCACAGUAAGAGCUUGCUCUUACGGGUGGCGAGUGGCGGACGGGUGAGGAAUACAUCGGAAUCUACUUUUUCGUGGGGGAUAACGUAGGGAAACUUACGCUAAUACCGCAUACGACCUACGGGUGAAAGCAGGGGAUCUUCGGACCUUGCGCGAUUGAAUGAGCCGAUGUCGGAUUAGCUAGUUGGCGGGGUAAAGGCCCACCAAGGCGACGAUCCGUAGCUGGUCUGAGAGGAUGAUCAGCCACACUGGAACCGAGACACGGUCCAGACUCCUACGGGAGGCAGCAGUGGGGAAUAUUGGACAAUGGGCGCAAGCCUGAUCCAGCCAUACCGCGUGGGUGAAGAAGGCCUUCGGGUUGUAAAGCCCUUUUGUUGGGAAAGAAAAGCAGCAGGUUAAUACCCCGCUGUUCUGACGGUACCCAAAGAAUAAGCACCGGCUAACUUCGUG
This 492-nucleotide ribosomal RNA is filed under the name uncultured bacterium. RNAcentral's name for it is "partial 16S ribosomal RNA". It matches the Rfam family "Bacterial small subunit ribosomal RNA", at positions 29 to 507 of the family's 1533-position model. The record is from RNAcentral.